This 344-nucleotide ribosomal RNA is filed under the name Staphylococcus aureus. RNAcentral describes it as "partial 23S ribosomal RNA". It matches the Rfam family "Bacterial large subunit ribosomal RNA", at positions 1582 to 1927 of the family's 2925-position model. The record is from RNAcentral. Lineage: Bacteria; Bacillati; Bacillota; Bacilli; Caryophanales; Staphylococcaceae.
GUCUUCGAGUCGUUGAUUUCACACUGCCGAGAAAAGCCUCUAGAUAGAAAAUAGGUGCCCGUACCGCAAACCGACACAGGUAGUCAAGAUGAGAAUUCUAAGGUGAGCGAGCGAACUCUCGUUAAGGAACUCGGCAAAAUGACCCCGUAACUUCGGGAGAAGGGGUGCUCUUUAGGGUUAACGCCCAGAAGAGCCGCAGUGAAUAGGCCCAAGCGACUGUUUAUCAAAAACACAGGUCUCUGCUAAACCGUAAGGUGAUGUAUAGGGGCUGACGCCUGCCCGGUGCUGGAAGGUUAAGAGGAGUGGUUAGCUUCUGCGAAGCUACGAAUCGAAGCCCCAGUAAA